Long non-coding RNA from Gorilla gorilla gorilla (western lowland gorilla), 893 nucleotides. RefSeq lists it as uncharacterized. The record is from RefSeq and is a predicted model, not a curated record. The transcript is spliced from 4 exons. NCBI's taxonomy places the organism in Eukaryota, Metazoa, Chordata, Mammalia, Primates, Hominidae.
GAACCAGCAAGGCAAUCUAGUUGGGUUAUCUUCUCCGCAGUGGAGGUUUUGUUCCUUUGCUCUUUGCAAUAAAUUUUGCGGCUGCUAAGUCGUUGGGUACGUGGUGCCUUAACUAGCUGUAACACUCACUGCGAAGGUCUGCGGUUUCACUCCUGAAGCUAGUGAGACCAGGAGCCCACCAGAAGGAAAAAACUCUGGACAUGUUCGAACAUCGGAAGGAACAAAUUCCAGACACACUAUCUUUAAGAACUGUAACACUCAACCGUGAGGGUCCGCAGAUUCAUUCUUGAAGUCAGUGAGACCAAGAACCCACCAAUUUCGGACACACCUGGAAUUCUUUGGAAGGCUGAAGCGAGAGGAUCAUUUGAGGCCAGGAGUUUGAGAAAUUCUAUGUGAUAUAAAGCAGAUGCAUAAAAUUUGCCCACAUCUCCAACUCACUUAUAAAAUGUUUUUUUCAAGAGAGUGGAACUUCUAGUGCAUAAAUACAGUUUGGGUUUAAAAAUCCAGAAUCCUGAAAAAAAAGGCUCUACUUAAAAAACGACUGUUUUUGGUCAGUAAUUUGAACAGUAAUUUAAAGGGCUCUUCAGUGACUUUAGAAAUCAUUAAAUCCAAUUCCUUCCUUUUAAAGUGACAGCCGAGGCCAAAUGUGGAGAUGGCAUAACCAGAAGAGGGAACGAACUGGCCUGGAUGUGACUCAUACUUGGAAGGGAGCUGUCUGGAAGGACCACAGUACCUGCAGCCAACUUUGUGUGAUUUAAAAUAUUUUGUUCUCACACACAAUGCUGCAACUGUACAUAACUCAGCUUCUAUAUAUGCAAGUGUAUCUGCAGAACAAAUGCCUAUAAUUAGAAUACUGGUUAAAAAGUCAAUCAUCAUGGAAUGAGGGCAGAGAA